This is a non-coding RNA of Pimephales promelas (fathead minnow), 387 nucleotides long. The record is from RefSeq and is a predicted model, not a curated record. NCBI's taxonomy places the organism in Eukaryota, Metazoa, Chordata, Actinopteri, Cypriniformes, Leuciscidae.
CUCUGGGCCUAGAACGAGAUGUUGAAGCAACGAUCGCAAAUUGUUGUUUCAACAUUAUCGCCAAGGCUGCAAAUGCACGUGGCAUUGCAACCAUGGCUGUGGAUGCCUAUGUGGUGGUCACCUGGCUUCCUCCAUAUGAGGCUUCUCCGAUUGCUGAAAUGAUUUGUGACUUUGCAUCCAAAGACGUGGUGCUUCUCCCUGCCUGGCAACCGGGGCACUGGACAUUGUGUUAACCUGGCACAUGCUGUGUCCAAUGGACCAUGGAAGUCAUUUUACUUGGCUGACGAGGGCGCAUCUCCCCAGCAUCAGAGCAACAGCUGUGGUGUGUUUAUGCUGAUGUAUGCAAUGUAUUCUAGCCUCCAAAAGCCAUACGAUUUUGUUGAGGUG